ACACGGUUAAAUCUGCUUACCGUCUUUUAGCCUCAAAAUCCAGGUUGGAUGAAUAUCGUAAAAAUAAUAUUGCUAAUGGUUCUUAUUCUGAUAAAAAUCCCAUUCGGAAAAAAGAUUAAAACUCCUCCGAAGAUUAAAACUUUCUGGUGGCGUGUCAUUAACAACUAUAUGCCAGUCCGAGCAAUAUUGGCAAAACUCCAUCCUGCCACUUGGGCGCAGGACUUGCUUGACAAUGCGAUUUGUUCGCAGGCUUUAGGGGACCUAUCUUGUGUGGAAUGUGGGCAAUUUGGAAUGCAAGGAACAAAAGAAAUCAUGGAGAAACCUCAAUGAGCAUUACACAAACUUGCAGGUGGGCAAGGGACAUGGCCUCCGAUCUGAUUCAGACCUCGGGCCCUUGUGCAAAAGGUAGACAAAGAGCCACGGGUGUGGUGAUCAGAGAUGACAUGUGCCAGGUGAUUGCUAUAUGAUGCGAGUGGUACAACGAUAUCUCAAGUGUGCUGUCAACAGAGGCACUGGCAUGUCGGGAUGGUGCAGAAUUGAUGGACAGCCUGAACUGCAAUAAGGUGAUCUUAGAAACAGAUAAUCUGGAUAUGGAUGCGCACUAUACAGCCAUGUUCGCUUCUUGUAAUCAGUUUGUAAACACCUGGAUGGCUGGAUGUACCAGGAACCUGAUUUCCUGAACGCCUGUAGUCACAUAUGACAUUACCGCACAAUGACUUAAUAUAAGGCAGUUUCACUCUAAAAAAAAUCUAUAUGUGUGUGAUGAGUGUUCACACUUCUGUGUAUAAUGAUAUAUAAAGACGGGUGUAUGUAUGUGUGUA
Long non-coding RNA from Brachypodium distachyon (stiff brome), 821 nucleotides. RefSeq lists it as uncharacterized. The record is from RefSeq and is a predicted model, not a curated record. The transcript is spliced from 2 exons. Lineage: Eukaryota; Viridiplantae; Streptophyta; Magnoliopsida; Poales; Poaceae.